Molecule: ribosomal RNA, 253 nt
Filed under: uncultured bacterium
Lineage: Bacteria
Description: partial 16S ribosomal RNA
Rfam family: Bacterial small subunit ribosomal RNA
Source: RNAcentral
UACGGAGAGGGCUAGCGUUGUUCGGAAUUACUGGGCGUAAAGCGCGCGUAGGCGGACCUGCAAGUCGGGGGUGAAAGCCCGAGGCUCAACCUCGGAACUGCCUUCGAUACUGCGGGUCUCGAGUCCGGGAGAGGUGAGUGGAAUUCCUAGUGUAGAGGUGAAAUUCGUAGAUAUUAGGAAGAACACCAGUGGCGAAGGCGGCUCACUGGCCCGGUACUGACGCUGAGGCGCGAAAGCGUGGGGAUCAAACAGG